Sorghum bicolor (sorghum) is the source of this 964-nucleotide RNA transcript. RefSeq lists it as uncharacterized. The transcript is spliced from 4 exons. Lineage: Eukaryota; Viridiplantae; Streptophyta; Magnoliopsida; Poales; Poaceae. The record is from RefSeq and is a predicted model, not a curated record.
CACACACCCAUUAUAUUCAACAACGCAAAGAUCGAUCGAGCUCUCUUCUGGUUUGAAGGGAGGAAGUACAUGUAGAACACAUACAUCAGUUCCUCUCCUCACGGGCACGGCCGGCUAGCUUCUUCUUUCUCCUGCGCGCUGCAUUGCAUGCGCUUCUCCGAUCCGGCCGGCCGGCCGGCACUAUAGCUUGUAGUAAGAGUGUGUGUGUAUAUAUAUAUAUAUAUAUAUAUGGUAAAUUUUUUCUACUCCCUAGAAGUAGUUAUUCCCUACCUGCAUACGAGUAGAAUCUGUUUCAUCCCACCGAUAUGGCCUGCCGGGGCAAAACGGGUGCAACUAACCCGUUAUUAUGCGGACCCGUUUGUGUAUGGACCUUUAUUUAUCCAUGCAUCGCCAUCCAGAUACCUUUGCCUCAUCCCCAUUCAUUCAACGGCAGCAGCUACGAAUCGACAGCGGCAGUGGCGGGCUGGCGGCGGCCGGCGCAUACGAGACGAUCUAUUUCGUGGCUAUAGCUCAACCAGGUGAUGCCGGCGGCAUGGUGGCACCAGAUAGCGAGUGCACCAACCUCUCCAAAUCUCCCCAUGAGUAAAGGUGUUGCAGACAAUGUCAAUUUUCUGAUGCAGAUUAAAUCUAAGAAAGGGCAAAACCUGUUCUUUUUUUCAUCACCGGGCAGUUCGAUGUUUACAAGGCUGGCAUCUCCUCUUCGACGGCAGUGACUUGCCACCGGCGAAGCAGGUAGCAGAUUGCAUCUCAUCGAGUAAGCUAUGUCUGCGUCGCCUGCAUCGUCCGUCGGUCCAUGUGUCCAUGGUUCAUCGCUGCAAUGAUCACGAAGCAUUCGGUGCAUCGGCGACCAAAGCCAAGCUGAGAGAUAAAAUACUAGUAGUAAAAUAAUAUGCUCACAAUAAUGUAUGAACCAAUAUUCCUAUCCAAGAAAAGGUAUCUACAUAUACAAGGAUACUUCCAUACA